GGGUUCUAGGUAGCGCGCAGUUUGGCACCGUAACCCGGCUUCCGGUUCAUCCCGCAUCGCCAGUUCUGCUUACCAAAAAUGGCCCACUUGGAGCUCCCGAUUCCAUGGCACGGCUCACCGGAGCAGCCGUGCCGUCCUACCUAUUUAAAGUUUGAGAAUAGGUCGAGGGCGUUGCGCCCCCGAUGCCUCUAAUCAUUGGCUUUACCCGAUAGAACUCGUAAUGGGCUCCAGCUAUCCUGAGGGAAACUUCGGAGGGAACCAGCUACUAGAUGGUUCGAUUAGUCUUUCGCCCCUAUACCCAAGUCAGACGAACGAUUUGCACGUCAGUAUCGCUUCGAGCCUCCACCAGAGUUUCCUCUGGCUUCGCCCCGCUCAGGCAUAGUUCACCAUCUUUCGGGUCCCGACAGGCGUGCUCCAACUCGAACCCUUCACAGAAGAUCAGGGUCGGCCAGCGGUGCAGCCCGUGAAGGCCUCCCGCUCGUCAGCUUCCUUGCGCAUCCCAGGUUUCAGAACCCGUCGACUCGCACGCAUGUCAGACUCCUUGGUCCGUGUUUCAAGACGGGUCGGAUGGGGAGCUCGCAGGCCGUUGCAGCGCAGCGCCCCGAGGGGCGCGCCUUGCGGCGCGCGGAGACCGGCCGUGCCGACGACGGCGACCGGAGGCACCUAGGGCCCCCGGGCUUAGGCCGCCGGCACGGCCGACAACAGUCCACGCCCCGAGCCGAUCGGCGGACCAGCAGAAGCCGUUCCGCAUACGACCGGGGCGCAUCGCCAGCCCCCAUCCGCUUCCCUCCCGGCAAUUUCAAGCACUCUUUGACUCUCUUUUCAAAGUCCUUUUCAUCUUUCCCUCACGGUACUUGUUCGCUAUCGGUCUCUCGCCUGUAUUUAGCCUUGGACGGAGUUUACCGCCCGAUUUGGGCUGCAUUCCCAAACAACCCGACUCGUUGACGGCGCCUCGUGGUGCGGCAGGGUCCGGGCCGGACGGGGCUCUCACCCUCCCAGGCGUCCCUUUCCAGGGAACUUGGGCCCGGUCCGUCGCUGAGGACGCCUCUCCAGACUACAAUUCAGGUGACGAAGCCACCCGAUUCUCAAGCUGGGCUGGUCCCGGUUCGCUCGCCGUUACUAGGGGAAUCCUUGUAAGUUUCUUCUCCUCCGCUUAUUUAUAUGCUUAAACUCAGCGGGUGGUCCCGACUGACCUGGGGUCGCGGUCCGAGCAACGAUGUGCUGCGGUGCCCGAAGGGUCCUUAGGGCCGAUGCACCGGCCACGUGUCGGGGCGCUGCACCGAGAACAACUAAGUGUCGCCCACCACGUGCUGUGCCCGACACGAAUCGCCGGCAGCCCCAACUUCGGCCCACCGCGCCAUGCGGCACGGGGAGCCAAAAACCACAUCCCUCCCCGAGGGUGGGUUGGGAGUGUCUGUUGGCGUGACGCCCAGGCAGACGUGCCCUCGGCCGGAAGGCCUCGGGCGCAACUUGCGUUCAAAAACUCGAUGGUUCGCGGGAUUCUGCAAUUCACACCAGGUAUCGCAUUUUGCUACGUUCUUCAUCGAUGCGAGAGCCGAGA
Molecule: RNA transcript, 1561 nt
Organism: Sorghum bicolor (sorghum)
Lineage: Eukaryota; Viridiplantae; Streptophyta; Magnoliopsida; Poales; Poaceae
Exons: 1
Source: RefSeq, a predicted model, not a curated record